UACAGAGGGUGCAAGCGUUAAUCGGAAUUACUGGGCGUAAAGCGUGCGUAGACGGUUAUGCAAGUCGGGGGUGAAAGCCCGAGGCUUAACCUCGGAACUGCCUUCGAUACUGCGGGUCUCGAGUCCGAGAGAGGUGAGUGGAAUUCCUAGUGUAGAGGUGAAAUUCGUAGAUAUUAGGAAGAACACCAGUGGCGAAGGCGGCUCACUGGCCCGGUACUGACGCUGAGGCGCGAAAGCGUGGGGAGCAAACAGG
RNAcentral lists this ribosomal RNA (253 nucleotides) under uncultured bacterium. Its description in RNAcentral is "partial 16S ribosomal RNA". It matches the Rfam family "Bacterial small subunit ribosomal RNA", at positions 524 to 776 of the family's 1533-position model. The record is from RNAcentral.